Long non-coding RNA from Trichomycterus rosablanca, 227 nucleotides. RefSeq lists it as uncharacterized. Lineage: Eukaryota; Metazoa; Chordata; Actinopteri; Siluriformes; Trichomycteridae. The transcript is spliced from 2 exons. The record is from RefSeq and is a predicted model, not a curated record.
UUUUUCAGUGAAUGGUGCUAGAAGUGUUCCAGUGACAGAGUUAAUGUGGCAAUGCAAGGCCUGCCCAUUAGUUUUACCAAAGCAUAAAGUGAAGUGGGACCAUGACAGCUCAGGCCAUUUUCAGAGUUAUCCUUGGACCAGACAGUAGUCAGAGGGUCAUGAUUUCUGCUGGUUUGCCUUCAACUGUUGCUGAACUGGAGACUGAAAUAAAGACUCAAUGUAAAAUA